CGCACAUUGCGCCCUUUGGUAUUCCAAAGGGCAUGCCUGUUCGAGCGUCAUUUGUACCCUCAAGCUUUGCUUGGUGUUGGGCGUCUUUUGUCUCUCCCCCGAGACUCGCCUUAAAAACAUUGGCAGCCGGCCUACUGGUUUCGGAGCGCAGCACAUUAUUUGCGCUCUUGUCCAGCCGCGGUCGCGCGUCCAUGAAGCCUUUUUUUUUUUCAACCUUUUGACCUCGGAUCAGGUAGGGAUACCCGCUGAACUUAA
This 255-nucleotide unclassified non-coding RNA is filed under the name Pleosporaceae sp. RNAcentral's name for it is "partial contains 5.8S ribosomal RNA, internal transcribed spacer 2, and large subunit ribosomal RNA". The record is from RNAcentral. Lineage: Eukaryota; Fungi; Ascomycota; Dothideomycetes; Pleosporales; Pleosporaceae.